GCCAACACUAGUAACAAAACCCAGCACUAUACACACAAACUUGCGAUUUUAGCGGGGAAAAAAUAAUUUGAGAGCGUGAAGUGUGAUUCUUCUCACUAAGGAAUUCAUACCUCUCAUCAUCUACGACUGAUUACAAACAAAAAUCUCAAUUUUUUCGUCCUAAUUGAUUCUUCAAAAUCAGGUUGUAACUGGGAUAACUUUACCAUCAGGGGAUAAGCUUUACACAGGGAGUAAAGACGAGCAUGUCAGGAUUUGGGAUUGUGCAUCCGUACAGGUUCAAAGGGAGUUUCACUUACAUGCAGGAGACUUCCCCAAUGUGGAGCACUUCAGGGAGGUUCUCAGGGGUCAUAACUUCGACAAGCUCGAAAAAUAGAAACCAAAAAAAGUACAAGCUGUUGAUGACAUGCUGAGCUAUGACAUCCCUGGUUGAAUUUUUUCAGCUAAAGUGCUUUAUCAAAGCGGAAGCUCACACAAGUCAAGCCGGGCUAGCUUAAUAGACAAGCCUUCUUGAAGUGGAAUAGAUUUGCUUCUUUAUGAAUUGAGAGAAGCUUUAUUAGAUGAACUGAAGAUCCAGCUUUGCUGCCAUGUCUCUCUUGUUAAAGAGGAAGGAGACUACAAUUAUAGGAUUUUUUACUAGUUGGAGUUGUGGCCUCUUAGAAGGCUUAUUAUUGAACUAACUAAUGGCUAUAUGCAUUUCGACAGUUAGUUUAUCAAAGAAAUGGGCGGGCAUAAUAGACGAAAUGUGCAUUACAUGAAACAUGCCACUACAUAGAAUGAUUACAAAGAUUUAUUUUAGUGUUUGCAUGUACAUUAAUUAGUGCUAAUUAUUUUUGGUGAAAACUUUAGUACUAACUUACCAAGUGUGCUCUUCGGUUAAUUAUGUACUUGUCUCUACAAAAUACUAUAUAAUAAUAGUAUUUAUUUCGCUUCGUUUGCUAAUCAUGAAGCAUUCUAAAGGCAUGUUUUGCUCUA
Beta vulgaris subsp. vulgaris (sugar beet) is the source of this 972-nucleotide long non-coding RNA. RefSeq lists it as uncharacterized. The record is from RefSeq and is a predicted model, not a curated record. NCBI's taxonomy places the organism in Eukaryota, Viridiplantae, Streptophyta, Magnoliopsida, Caryophyllales, Amaranthaceae. The transcript has 3 exons.